ACGCGAGCUGGUUAGAUGCGUGGGGCAGAGGGCUCGUAGUACCCCCUUUUCUUGAUCCAGCCUUUUCUUCGCUUCGGUAGUUAAGAACCUAAAAUCCAAGGGGGGCUGGCCUGCACGCCAUACCUAUACCCAUACAGUGCCAGGCAGGCGGUGGACUCAUUUUUGGAUUAGGGAAGGGGGGAAGGGGCCUAAGCACGGCAGAUGCCGUACACUUGAGUGGCAAAGGAAAGCGAGACCGUACUUCUUUUGCCAGGCCUGUUCUUACAUAAGGUUCCUCAAGUUGGUGAGCCGUGUGAUGGGAAACCUUCCCGCACGGUUCGGAGAGCACUGAAGACAAAUGAGAGGUUCACCACCACAUCAUUGCAAGGGGAGCUCGCUCGAUUCGCAGAUUGGUCUGACUCGUAAUUCACUUUUGACUCCGUGUUCGAUAGCCUGACCGUAGUAAUGUUAAUUGUGGUUACAUUCAUAAGUAGCUUGGUCCAUCUUUAUUCCAUUUCAUAUAUGUCUGAGGAUCCACAUAGCCCUCGAUUUAUGUGUUAUUUAUCCAUUUUUUACUUUUUUUAUGCUAAUGUUGGUGACUGGAGAUAACUUUCUCCAAUUAUUCCUGGGAUGGGAGGGUGUAGGUCUUGCUUCAUAUUUGUUCAUUCAUUUCUGGUUUACACGACUUCAGGCGGAUAAAGCAGCUAUAAAAGCUAUGCUUCUCAAUCGAGUAGGUGAUUUUGGAUUAGCUCUUGGGAUUUUUGGUUGUUUUACUCUCUUUCAAACAGUAGGCUUUUCCACCAUUUUUGCUUGUGCUAGUGCUCCCAGAAAUGAAUGGAUUUUUUGCAAUAUGAGAUUGAAUGCCAUAACUCUGAUUUGUAUUUUACUUUUUAUUGGUGCUGUUGGGAAAUCCGCACAGAUAGGAUUGCAUACUUGGUUACCCGAUGCAAUGGAGGGUCCCACUCCAGUAUCUGCUUUGAUUCAUGCAGCUACUAUGGUCACUGCUGGCGUUUUCAUGAUAGCAAGGUGCUCCC
This 1013-nucleotide long non-coding RNA is filed under the name Oryza sativa (Asian cultivated rice). The record is from RNAcentral. Lineage: Eukaryota; Viridiplantae; Streptophyta; Magnoliopsida; Poales; Poaceae.